Takifugu rubripes (torafugu) is the source of this 308-nucleotide ribozyme. It matches the Rfam family "Nuclear RNase P". From Rfam's summary of the family: Ribonuclease P (RNase P) is a ubiquitous endoribonuclease, found in archaea, bacteria and eukarya as well as chloroplasts and mitochondria. NCBI's taxonomy places the organism in Eukaryota, Metazoa, Chordata, Actinopteri, Tetraodontiformes, Tetraodontidae. The record is from Ensembl.
GUGAGUGGAAGCUCAUUGUAGAGAUCACGUGCUGAGUGUUCAUCACUCUACCAAUCAUCUCGGGGAAGGUCUGAGACAAGAGCCAAUAGUUGUCCUUGCAGGACAUCACCUGAUUCGGGUGAGCGAGUGAACAGAAAAUAUGGGUCAACUCGUGCAGUUCUAACAGGAGAAGCCGGUGGGGGCAGUUUCUCAGCCCCGCCGGCGGAUGUGACGCACGCUGACUUGGAAUCGCUCGCGGCUGGCAAAUGAGUGCGAUGUGUGAGGUGGAGCACUGCUCUAGAACCCAAUUCAGACUACUCUCCACUCAC